GAAAUCUUCAAAGUCAAACCUUUUGUUAACUCAAUUGGUUCUGCUUUGGUAUUGGAGGUCUAUUGCAGCUUCACACCUGCUCCUCUUUGUGCAUUAGCUGGAUCUCAGUGUUAUGCUUGGUUCCACUCAGCGUGAUAAGUUAUCUAUCGCUGAGGACACCCUGUUAAAAAGGGGUGGCCAAGGUAAAUGCAGAUGAACUGCUUCUAACAGUCCAUUGACUUGGACAAAUAUUAAUUUUAUGAUCUGAUCUCAAAUCAGGUAGGACUACCCGCUGAACUUAA
RNAcentral lists this unclassified non-coding RNA (281 nucleotides) under Thanatephorus cucumeris. RNAcentral's name for it is "partial ITS2". The record is from RNAcentral. Lineage: Eukaryota; Fungi; Basidiomycota; Agaricomycetes; Cantharellales; Ceratobasidiaceae.